Molecule: unclassified non-coding RNA, 393 nt
Filed under: fungal sp.
Lineage: Eukaryota; Fungi
Description: partial internal transcribed spacer region
Rfam family: Eukaryotic small subunit ribosomal RNA (bases 1-46)
Source: RNAcentral
AAGUCGUAACAAGGUUUCCGUAGGUGAACCUGCGGAAGGAUCAUUAACACGUAUCCACGUAUCCACCUUUGGUCAUUUGUUUUUUCGCCCUGCGCGUCACAUGAAUUGGUAUCGGUAGAGGGGAUUGAAUGGGACCCUUAAAAAAGGUCGAAGCUCUACCCACCGGAGGUAAAACUCCAACAAUUGUAGUGACGAGUGCAGGUUUUCUCUAUUACCAUACAUCUCCAUUCAAGAUGGAGGUAAUAGGGGUUUUCUAUACACAAUUUUCACCUCUUUUUGCUAGUUGGCUUUUUUUAUGUUGUUUCCUUUACAAUUGAUUUUGUAAUUGGAUGCACACGUUUAAUUAUUUGAACGUUAAAAAUACAACUCUUAGCAAUGGAUAUCUUGGUUCUC